Molecule: ribosomal RNA, 441 nt
Filed under: uncultured bacterium
Lineage: Bacteria
Description: partial 16S ribosomal RNA
Rfam family: Bacterial small subunit ribosomal RNA
Source: RNAcentral
CCUACGGGGGGCAGCAGUGGGGGAUAUUGCACAAUGGGGGGAACCCUGAUGCAGCGACGCCGCGUGGGUGAAGGAGCGUUUCGGCGCGUAAAGCCCUAUCGGCAGGGAAGAAGAUGACGGUACCUGACCAAGAAGCCCCGGCUAACUACGUGCCAGCAGCCGCGGUAAUACGUAGGGGGCAAGCGUUAUCCGGAUUUACUGGGUGUAAAGGGAGCGUAGGCGGCAAGGUAAGUAAGAUGUGAAAGCCCGCAGCUUAACUGCGAGGAUUGCAUUUUAAACUAUCUAGCUUGAGUACAGGAGAGGUAAGCGGAAUUCCUAGUGUAGCGGUGAAAUGCGUAGAUAUUAGGAAGAACACCAGUGGCGAAGGCGGCUUACUGGACUGUAACUGACGCUGAGGCUCGAAAGCGUGGGGAGCGAACAGGAUUAGAUACCCGAGUAGUC